UUCACUGGGGGUUCAGUCUUAGCAGGACCCAGGGCUUCCCCUUCCACUGGUGCUCUUACUAGGAUAUUCAUUGCUACCUAUGGGGUCAGAGUCCAGGGUCAGUCCAUAUAUAGUCUUUAGGUAGUGGCUUAGUCCCUGGAAGCUCUGGUUGCUUGACAUUGUUGUACUUUUGGGGUCUCGAGCCCCUUCAAGCUCUUCCAGUUCUUUCUCUGAUUCCUUCAACGGGGGACCUAUUCUCAGCUCAGUGGUUUGCUGCUGGCAUUCGCCUCUGUAUUUGCUGUAUUCUGGCUGUGUCUCUCAGGAGCGAUCUACAUCCGGCUCCUGUCGGUCUGCACUUCUUUGCUUCAUCCAUCUUGUCCAAUUGGGUGGCUGUAUAUGUAUGGGCCACCUGUGGGGCAGGCUCUGAAUGGGUGUUCCUUCAGUCUCUGUUUUAAUCUUUGCCUCUCCCUUCCCAGCCAAGGGUAUUCUUUUUCCUCAUUUAAAGAAGGAGUGAAGCAUUCACAUUUUCAUCAUCCGUCUUGAGUUUCGUUUGUUCUAGGGAUCUAGGGUAAUUCAAGCAUUUGGGCUAAUAGCCACUUAUCAAUGAGUGCAUACCAUGUAUGUCUUUCUGUGAUUGGGUUAGCUCACUCAGGAUGAUAUUUUCCAGUUCCAACCAUUUGCCUACGAAUUUCAUAGACUCGUUGUUUUUGAUAGCUGAGUAAUAUUCCAUUGUGUAGAUGUACCACAUUUUCUGUAUCCAUUCCUCUGUUGAAGGGCAUCUGGGUUCUUUCCAUUUUCUGGCUAUUAUAAAUAAGGAUGCGAUGAACAUAGUGGAGCACGUGUCUCUUUUAUAUGUUGAGGCAUCUUUUGGGUAUAUGCCCAAGAGAGGUAUAGCUGGAUCCUCAGGCAGUUCAAUGUCCAAUUUUCUGAGGAACCUCCAGACUGAUUGUUUCUCUUUUGUAUAGAGGAAGGCAACUGAUUUAUUUGAGUUAAUUUUAUACCCAGCCACUUUGUUGAAGGUGUUUAUCAGGUUUAGUAGUUCUCUGGUGGAACUUUUGGGAUCACUUAAAUAUACUAUCAUAUCAUCUGCAAAUAGUGAUAUUUUGACCUCUUCUUUUCUGAUCUGUAUCCCCUUGAUCUCCUUUUGUUGUCUGAUUGCUCUGGCUAGAACUUCAAGAACUAUAUUGAAUAAGUAGGGAGAGAGUGGGCAGCCUUGUCUAGUCCCUGAUUUUAGUGGGAUUGCUUCGAGUUUCUCUCCAUUUUGUUUAAUGUUAGCAACUGGUUUGCUGUAUAUGGCUUUUACUAUGUUUAGGUAUGGGCCUUGAAUUCCUAUACUUUCCAGGACUUUUAUCAUGAAGGGGUGUUGAAUUUUGACAAAUGCUUUCUCAGCAUCUAAUGAAAUGAUCAUGUGGUUCUGUUCUUUCAGUUUGUUUAUAUAAUGGAUCACGUUGAUGGUUUUCCAUAUAUUAAACCAUCCCUGCAUGCCUGGGAUGAAGCCUACAUGAUCAUGGUGGAUGAUUGUUUUGAUGUGCUCUUGAAUUCGGUUUGCCAGAAUUUUAUUGAGUAUUUUUGCGUCGAUAUUCAUAAGGGAAAUUGGUCUGAAGUUCUCUUUCUUUGUUGGGUCUUUGUGUGGUUUAGGUAUGAAAGUAAUUGUGGCUUCAUAGAAGGAAUUCGGUAGUCCUCCAUCUGUUUCAAUUUUGUGGAAUAGUUUGGAUAAUAUUGGUAUGAGGUCUUCUAUGAAGGUUUGAUAGAAUUCUGCACUAAACCCGUCUAGACCUGGGCUCUUUUUGGUUGGGAGACCUUUAAUGACUGCUUCUAUUUCCUUAGGAGUUAUGGGGUUGUUUAACUGGUUUAUCUGUUCCUGAUUUAACUUCGAUACCUGGUAUCUGUCUAGGAAAUUGUCUGUUUCCUGAAGAUUUUCAAGUUUAGUUGAAUAUAGGUUUUUAUAGUAAGAUCUGAUGAUUUUUUGAAUUUCCUCUGAAUCUGUAGUUAUGUCUCCCUUUUCAUUUCUCAUUUUGUUAAUUUGGACUCACUCUCUGUGUCCUCUCAUUAGUCUGGCUAAGGGUUUAUCUAUCUUGUUGAUUUUCUCAAAGAACCAACUUUUGGUUCUGUUGAUUCUUUCUAUGGUCCUUUUUGUUUCUACUUGGUUGAUUUCAGCUCUGAGUUUGAUUAUUUCCUGCCUUCUACUCCUCCUGGGUGUAUUUGCUUCUUUUUGUUCUAGAGCUUUUAGGUGUUCUGUCAAGCUGCUGACAUAUGCUCUUUCCUGUUUCUUUCUGCAGGCACUCAGCACUAUGAGUUUUCCUCUUAGCACAGCUUUCAUUGUGUCCCAUAAGUUUGGGUAUGCUGUACCUUCAUUUUCAUUAAAUUCUAAAAAUUUUUUAAUUUCUUUCUUUAUUUCUUCCUUGACCAGGUUAUCAUUGAGUAGAGCAUUGUUCAAUUUCCACGUAUAUGUGGGCAUUCUUCCCUUAUCGUUAUUGAAGACCAGUUUUAGGCCGUGUUGGUCCGAUAGCACGCAUGGGAUUAUUUCUAUCUUUCUGUGCCUGUUGAGACCCGUUUUUUGACCAAUUAUAUGGUCAAUUUUGGAGAAAGUUGCAUGAGGAGCUGAGAAGAAGGUAUAUCCUUUUGCUUUAGGAUAGAAUGUUCUAUAAAUAUCCGUUAAGUCCAUUUGGCUCAUGACUUCUCUUAGUCUGUCGACAUCACUGUUUAAUUUCUGUUUCCAUGAUCUGUCCAUUGAUGAGAGUGGGGUGUUGAAAUCUCCCACUAUUAUUGUGUGAGGUGCAAUGUGUGUUUUGAGCUUCAGUAAGGUUUCUUUUACGUAUGUAGGUGCCCUUGUAUUUGGGGCAUAGAUAUUUUUUUUAACCAGCAUCAAAGAUAUUUUCAUUAAAAUCAGAAAAAAGACAAGAAAGUUGAUUCUUCCUGUCUUAUCCAGUACAGUAUUAGGAGAAUAAUUUGAAUAGGAUAUGAUGGGGCAUAGAUAUUUAGGAUUGAGAGUUCAUCUUGGUGGAUUUUUCCUUUGAUGAAUAUGAAGUGUCCUUCCUUAUCUUUUUUGAUGACUUUUAGUUGAAAAUUGAUUUUAUUUGAUAUUAGAAUGGCUACUCCAGCUUGCUUCUUCUGACCAUUUCUUGGAAAGUUGUUUUCCAGCCUUUCACUCUGAGGUAGUGUCUGUCUUUGUCUCUGAAGUGUGUUUCCUGUAGGCAGCAGAAUGCAGGGUCCUCCUUGCGUAUCCAGUUUGUUAAUCUAUUUCUUUUUAUUGGGGAGUUGAGGCCAUUGAUGUUCGGAGAUAUUAAGGAAUAGUGAUUAUUGCUUCCCGUUAUAUUCAUAUUUGGAUGUGAGGUUAUGUGUGUGUGCUUUCAUUCUCUUUGUUUUGUUGCCAAGUCGAUUAGUUUCUUGUUUCAUCUAGGGUAUAGCUUGCCUCCUUAUGUUGGGCUUUACCAUUUAUUAUCCUUGGUAGUGCUGGAUUUGUAGAAAGAUACUGUGUAAAUUUGGUUUAGUCAUGGAAUAUCUUGGUUUCUCCAUCUAUGUUAAUUGAGAGUUUUGCAGGAUACAGUAACCUGGUCUGGCAUUUGUGUUCUCUUAGGGUCUGUAUGACAUCAUUCCAGGAUUUUCUGGCCUUCAUAUUUUCAGGCGAGAAGUCUGGUGUGAUUCUGAUAGGUCUGCCUUUAUAUGUUACUUGACCUUUUUCCCUUACUGCUUUUAAUAUUCUUUCUUUAUUUUGUGCGUUUGGUGUUUUGACAAUUAUGUGAGGGGAGGUGUUUCUUUUCUGGUCCAAUCUAUUUGGAGUUCUGUAGACUUCUUGUAUGUCCAUGGGUAUCUCUUUUUUUAGGUGAGGGAAGUUUUCUUCUAUGAUUUGGUUGAAGAUAUUUACUGGUCCUUUGAGCUGGGAGUCUUCACUCUCUUCUAUACCUAUUAUCCUUAGGUUUGAUCUUCUCAUUGAGUCCUGGAUUUCCUGUAUGUUUUGGACCAGUAGCUUUUUCUGCUUUACAUUAUCUUUGACAGUUGAGUCAAUGAUUUCUAUGGAAUCUUCUGCUCCUGAGAUUCUCUCUUCCAUCUCUUGUAUUCUGUUGGUGAAGCUUGUAACUAUAGCUCCUUGUCUCUUCUUUUGGUUUUCCAUAUCCAGGGUUGUUACCAUGUGUUCUUUCUUGAUUUCUUCUAUUUCCAUUUUUUUUUUUGCUUCUUUUUUUUUUUUCCGGAGCUGGGGACCGACUAUUUCCAUUUUUAAUUCCUUCAACUGUUUGAUUGUUUUUUCCUGGAAUUCUUUCAGGGUUUUUUGCGAUUCUUUCAGGGAUUUUUGUGAUUCCUCUCUGUAGGCUUCUACUUGUUUAUUAAUGUUUUCCUGUGUUUCCCUAAGGGAGUUCUUCACGUCUUUCUUGAAGUCCUCCAAAUCAUGAUCAAAUAUGAUUUUAAAACUAGAUCUUGCUUUUCUGGUGUGUUUGGAUAUUCCAUGUUUGCUUUGGUGGGAGAAUUGGGCUCCGAUGAUGGCAUGUAGUCUUGGUUUCUGUUGCUUGGGUUCCUGCGCUUGCCUCUCGCCAUCAGAUUAUCUCUAGUGUUACUUUGUUCUGCUAUUUCUGACAGUGGCUAGACUGUCCUAUAAGCCUGUGUGUCAAGAGUGCUGUAGACCUGUUUUCCUCUCUUUCAGUCAGUUAUGGGGACAGAGUGUUCUGCUUUCUGGCAUGUAGUUUUUCCUCUCUACAGGUCUUCAGCUGUUCCUGUGGGCCUGUGUCUUGAGUUCACCAGGCAGCUUUCUUGCAGCAGAAAAGUUGGUCUUACCUGUGGUCCCGAGGCUCAAGUUCACUCGUGGGGUGCUGCCCACGGGCUCUAUGCAGCGGCAGCAACCAGGAAGAUAUGUGCCGCCCCUUCCGGGAGCUUCAGUGCACCAGGGUUCCAAAUGGCCUUUGGUGUUUUCCUCUGGCGUCCGAGAUGUGUGUGCAGAGAGCAGUCUCUUCUGGUUUCCCAGGCUUGUCUGCCUCUCUGAAGGUUUAGCUCUCCCUCCCACGGGAUUUGGGUGCAGAGAACUGUUUAUCCGGUCUAUUUCCUUCAGGUUCCGGUGGUGUCUCAGGCCGGAGUCCUGCUGCUCCUGCGCCCUCCCCCACGGGAGCCCAGAUGCCUCAUACAGUUUCCUCUUGGGCCAGGGAUGUGGGCAGGGGUGGGCAGUGUUGGUGGUCUCUUCCACUCUGCAGCCUCAGGAGUGUCCAUUACUAUCCCUUUCAACAGAAGAACACAGGUCUAUAUUGUCAGUUACCCAAACAUACACAGAAGCUUAGGGUACAUGAAUUGAAGCUUUAUUUUAAUAUAGAAAACUUUGUUGUGUAUGUUUAUUAUUAGUAAGUAAGAUUUUGCUUGCUCUGGUGUUCAUCUUCACUUAAAAUCACCACCGGUUAAUGUUGAUGGAGAUAAUAACAAGUAAAUAUCUGGUGAAACGGAAGAUUCAGAACAAGAGCUUCUAAUAAGACUGUAUCAACUUUCCCAAAGAUUACAUCCACUGCACUAUAUAAAGGCCACUUAUAGAUUAUUUGUUUAAUACAAUAGAUCUGGUGGUUAUUGAUAUACACUCAGUAAACCUUCCAAUGACAACACAUAGUAAUUUUAGUAAGUAUGUACAACAUCUAUUCACAGAAAUUUUCUUUUAAAUGUAUUCAAGAAAUUAAAUAUGAUUGCAAUAUUUUUAUUUGCCUGUUAAUUUUAGGUUACUGAACAGGUUGCAUUGGCUAUGCUUGAAGUAACAAGUCUAAUGAUUUUCUAUGUUCUCUGGAAUUUCUUCUAUGCAAGAAAGCUUGAGUACAGAAGUUUUAUAUUGGAUCUCCCCCUCACAAAUAUCUUAAUUUUCCAAGUAUCAAAUAGUAUAUUUUACUAUUAGUCCAUUAGUACUCUCCCCAUUUAGUCCCAUAUUCUCUGUUGAGAUUCUUUUCAUAUAACACUAGCAGGCACUAUAGGAAACUUCUAGUGUCAUUCUAAGAAAAAUGCCAUUUCUACUAUACAGUUUGUGUGGUGGCUUAAAGGUAACAUUUCUUUGUUACAUCAAAGUUACAAUAGUCUACUAGACAUUAUUAUUAUGUACUAUAAUUCAGGCAUCUAUAAAUAGCACUAAAGAACCAUGCCACUGAGAGAUAAUAGUGAAUUAGGAGAUUGCUUAAUUUUGGAGCCCAGAGUCACAGUCAUAAGAGCAUGUAGAAAUGAAGGCAUUUUUCUAUGUAGCCAGGAUCUAGAGUCAAGCAGGUAGAUGCAGGAGAGCCCUGAGGCACCACUGGCUGGCUUUAUUUUAUUAUCAGUUGAUAUCUAUGUCUAGAGUAAAUUACAUUUCCUUCUGUCUUCGCCUUUCAAACUUUCUUCUGCAUUUCCUGCAAUAUGGGUUGAUGGAGUGACAUAUGUAUCAAUAGCUCCCUCAGAGAUCUCCAAACUUACCACAGAUUUUGUUUUUAAUAUCGAAGUGUGAUAUCUCUGUUUUUGAAUGAUUCUUUGUCCAUUCCCUAUUGGAAUGCACAUAAAUGUCAAAUCAGAGGCAACCUGUGCUAAUAAAGGUCUCUGAAGCCAGUAUUUUCACACCAGUCUCCGGAUUAGAGUCCAGUUCUCAAGUGGAUCUAGCCAAAGCCUGACUAUAAGAUGCUCCAGAGAAGGACGUCUCUUGAAUCCUGCAGGUGACAAAGCUAAUGAAAUCCCAGCAUGAGCAGGUACUUGCAGGUAUCCCCUUUGCUCCUUCUCUGAGAUACCUCCUUGCAUUUCCUGUGCAAGUAAUGCUUUCCUGCUUUUGAUUUAAAAUCUUCAGCCCUGCCUCAGUUUUAGAUCCUAUACAUCUUGUAGAUUUAGAUAUAAGGAAUAUAAUUUGAUUUGGGAACCAGUAUCAAUGAAGUCUAACUGACUGUCUUCCUUGUUAUCAUAGUGCUGCCAUCAAGGGUUUCAAAUGCUAACUUUCCAAUCCAUAUUUUAUAGUCAUCUUGCCUUGGGAAAUAAUAGUUCAUAUGUUGUGCUUUAUCUUCCAUGCAUGCCAGUCCCUCUCUAUGAGGUCAGGCAAGUGAUGAGAGUCUUGGAACAUUGUUUCUCUGUAGGUUUGGACUAAUAUUUUAUCUCAUUAUUGCAAGAAAUUUAGCCACUACAUUUUUGUAAUAUGCCUCGAGAAUGUUUCCUACACUGCCUGGGCAAGGAAAACACAAACCCAGUUCUCAUGAAGACUAAAAUGGAAUUGCUAUGUGUUUCAUGGAAUUAAGGUACUAGGACAAAUGGAUCAAAUCAAAAAUCAAUUUGAAUCUUGGGUACCUCCCAUAUCCAAGGUCUCUGUCAAUUCCUAAACACUCUCAACCAUCCAUCACCAACACUGGUAGGUGCAUACUUCCAUUCAUUCUCCUAGUGCUCUGAGCCUCACUCCUGUCCCUCCACAAAGCUGAUCCUGCCUCCUAUCCCCCUUCUACUCUCCUCUCCAACCCAGCUCCCCCUUCUUUCUGACACCCUCGAAAAUUUAAUUCCCCUUCUAAUUACGAUUUAAGCAUCCUUACUUGGACUUUCCCUCUUCUUUCCCUCUUUUGGUUUUGUGAGGUGUAUUAUGGAUAUUCUGUACUUUUGGAUAAUAUCUAAUUAUCACUGAAUAUACACAAUACUUGUCGCUUUGGGUCUGGGUUACCUCAUGCAGGAUGAUAUUUUUCAGUUCAAUCAAUUUGCCAGCAAAAUUAAUAAUUCCCUUUCUUUUAACAUCUGAAUGGUACACCAUAGUGUAAAUGAACCAUAUCUUCUGUAUCCAUUUUUCAGUUGGUGGGUGUUUGGAUCUCUUUUAUUUUCCAGCUAUUAGUAAUAAACCCUUGUGAUAUACUGGAACAUCUUUUGGGUAUAUGCUUAGAAAUAGUAUAGCUAGAUCUUCAGGGAGCACAUUUCUCAACUUUCUGAUAAACUGCCAGGUUCAUUUCCAUAGUGGUUGUACAAGUUUGAGGCUGCAUCAGCAGUAGAAAAGUGUUGCUCUUUUUCUACAUGCUUGCAUUGUUGCUUGAUUUUUUUACCUUUGCAAUUCUGAUUGGUGUAGUCUGAAAUAUCAUGGUGGAUGUGCAUGGCUGAAGUCAAAAUGAGGACAGGGAAAGUGAAGAAAUCACCUCCAGCAACCAGAGACUGCCUCCAUUGGAAGUAUGGGGACACCAACCUACCUAUAAAACUUUUGACCCAAAAUUGUUCCUUUCUAAAAGAAAUGUACAGAAAAAUAUGGAGCAGAGACUAAAUGGCCAAUGAGCAGCCUAUCCCCUACCCCUAUCCCCACUCCCAUCCACAAUAUAUGAAUCUGAGAACUGCCUUGACUGGCCUCAGUGGGAGAGGAUGCACAUAAUCUUGCACAAACUUGAUAGGUUAAGGUGGGGAUACCCAGAGUAAGUCAAAAUAUAAGCACAGAGAACCUAGUGCAUGCAGAAACAAGCCCAGUUCAUGUGACUUCAGUGGGUCUGUGAGUUCCUAUGAACGUUGCUUUUGUUGAUUAUGAUUUCAGAGUGUCCUCGAUCUCCAUCUCUGAGAUUCUUGGAGCUUCCUUUACUCUGAGCUCUCACGGUAGAUUUUAAUGGAGACAUCCUAUUUAGACCUUAGUGUUUCUCUCUUUUGCUUUUUGUGUCUUGUCUGCCAGUGGGUCUCUUUAUUUGUUCUUAUCUGCUGCAGCUGGAAACUUCUUUGAUGAUGGUUACAAAAAGCAUUAAUCCUCCAUGGUUCUCUUGAUUGUGGCUUGGUUAACAAGGACUGCAAUCUAAGAAUUACAUAGUAGAAGUUGCAUCCCAUAUUUUUUUGUCGGAGUCUGACUUACCUGUAUUAGAAUAUUUUCCCAGAUCAAUAAAUUUGCAUGCAAUUUUUUUGAUUCUAUUGCUUUUAAUGGCUGAGUAAUAUGCAAUUGUGUUAGCAUACUCAAUUUAUCAAUUUUCCGUUGAGGAUCAUCUUGAUUGCCUUUAAUUUAUGUCUCUUAGGAAGAGAGAAACAAUGGACAUAGUUGAUCAAGUUGUCUCUGUGGUGGUGUGAAUCACAUUUUGGGUUUCUUGCUAAGCUGGUUCAAACUGGAGCAUAAAGACUGAAUUUUGUCUUCUGGAUGAACUGCCACCCUGAUUUUCAUAGUAGCAAUACAUUACAGCAGUUUGUGGGAACUCCAGAUGAGAUAAUGCUGUGUGAAAAUCACUGAGGGAAUCAAAAGGAAAAAAUGUUUUCUUUCCGUAUGAAGUAAUAGCACCAAACUGAAGAGGAAUAAAGCUCAAACUUCACUUUUGAUAUUGUAAGCCUGUUGAAUUUAUGUGGUUACUAGGAUGGCUGUAAAUAUGCAUUGCGGAUUAUAUUUCUGUACAUAAAUACCCCAUAACUUUCUGUUGUUCAAGCCUAAAACCUCAGCUAUUCUCAGGAGAAAAAUGUUAUGCUAUUCACUUGCUCAUAUAAAUUGUGCUCAGACCUUAGCAGCAAACUGUCACGACAGUCCUCUCAUCAAGGCUGACCAGGCUUAGGUUGUAUUCUUGGUAACAACUAAUUUACAUCUGAACUUCAUUAACUUUAUGGUGAAGUGAAAUUUCCUUCCUCAUUAGGAAAUAACUAAAAACCAUGAAAUGUAGAGAGUACAAAUACAAAAUGUAUUAGACAUAGAUUCUCGAAAAUUCAGUAUUGCUCUUUUUGUUUAAAUCAAAUCAGCUAAUGGACUGAUUACACCUUAACUCCUGGAGCCAUUUGUUACACCCUGGGUCUAGCUUACUCUACCAAUUAAUGUUAGACUAACAGUAAGGAAGGCUGGCAAUUGCUCAUGUACUCCUGACAACAAAUUGAGGAAAUAAUUUGCAGAAGCUAUAUGCACUAAUUCAUGUCUUUGAAUUCCUUGGCUCUAACAACUUUGGAUACUUAUGCCGGGAGCCAAGCCAAUUUAUACACCCACUGUCUCAGGUAUGUUUCAGGAAUGUCAAGUCCACAUACACACUCUGAGAAACCUAGCCAGUUAGAUGUUCUCAUCAGUAAACCUGCAAUAUAUGGUUUAGCGUUACAGGAACCAAAAGAACAAUGGGGGAGGUUGGGGUGAUUGUGACCAUCGUCAAAUUGGUCUUGGGCUCUGCAUGGCCUUUUCGCUUGCUUGCUUGUCUUUGUAAGCCACUUCCCAGAAAUAAAGUUUGAGUGCUUGAUCUGAAAAGAAAAAGCCAUCUUUUCUCAGGAUCAAAAGGUUGUAUUGUCUUUUUAUGACCAAUGCAGACACCAUAUGCCUGAGGUACACAAACCUGACUAUAUGCAAAAACAAAACAAAAAAAAACCCCACAAACAUAUACAUAAAAUUAAAAUUCAUAAAUCUUUUUAAUGUCUUUUUCCAUCUUUAUUAAAUUGGGCAUUUCUUAUUUACAUUUCAAAUGUUAUUCUCUCCCAGGUUUGUUAAUCUGUGUCUUUUCAAUGGGGAAUUGAGUCCAUUGAUGUUGAGAGAUAUUAAGGAAUAGUGAUUGUUGCUUUCUGUUAUCUUCGUAUUUAGAGGUGAGAUUAUGUUUGUGUGCUUGCCUUCUAUUUGUUUCUUGCUUUUUCUAGGAUGUAGCUUGCCUCUUUAUGUUGGGCUUUACCAUUUAUUAUCAUUUGUAGAAUGGAUUUGUAGAAAGAUUUUGUGUAAAUGUGGUUUUGCCAUGGAAUAUAUUGGUUGCUCCAUCUGUGUUAAUUGAGAGUUUUGCUGGAUACAGUAACCUGGGCUGGCAUUUAUGUUCUCUUAGGAUCUGUAUGACAUCUAUCCAGGAGCUUCUGGCUUUCAUAGUCUCUGGUGCAAAAUCUGGUGUGAUUCUGAUAGGUCUGCCUUUAUAUGUUACUUGACCUUUUUCCCUUACUGCUUUUAAUAUUCUUUCUUUGUUUUGUCCAUUUAGUGCUUUGACUAUUAUGUGAAAAGAGGAGUUUCUUUUCUGGUCCAAUCUAUUUGGAGUUCUGUAGGCUUCUUGGAUGUUUAUGGGCAUCUCUUUCUUUAGUAUAGAGAAGUGUUCUUCUAUGAUUUUGUUGAAGAUAUUUACUGGUACUUUGAGUUGGGAAACUUCACUGUCUUCUAUACCUAUUAUCCUUAGGUUUGAUCUUCUCUUGUGUCCUGGAUUUCCUGUAGGUUUUGUGCCAGUAGCUUUUUCUCUUUUACAUUAUCUUUGACAGUUGUGUCAAUGCUUUCUAUGGAAUCUUCUGCUCCUGAGAUUCUCUCUUCUAUCUCUUUAUUGUUUCGAUUUCAAUUUUCAAUUCCUUCCCCUGUUUGAUUGUGUUUUCCUGUAAUUCUUUUGGGAAAUUUUGUAUUUCCUCUCUAAGGGCUUCUACUUGUUUACUUGCAAUUUCCUGCAUUUCUUUAAGGAAGUUAUUAUGUCUUUCUUAAAGUUCUCCAUUAUUUUCAAAAAAUGUGAUUUUAAAUAGAAAUCUUGCUUUUCUGUUGUGUUUGGAUAUCCAGUAUUUCCUUUGGUGGGAGAAUUGGGUUGUGAUGAUGCCAUGUAGUCUUAGUUUUUGUUGCUUGGAUUCCUGAGCAUGCCUCUCACCAUCAGGCUCUCUCUGGUAUUACCUUGUUUAGCUAUUUCUGACAGUGGCUUGUCUGUCUUAUAGGCCUCUGUGUCAGGAGUGCUGUAGACCUGUUUUCCUGCUUUCUCUCAGCCAGUUAUGGGAACAGAGUGUUCUGCUUUCAGACGUGUAGUCAUUCCUGUUUACUAGCUUUCAGCUGUUCCUGUGGGCAUGUAUCUUAAGUCCACCAGACAGGUCACGUGGAGCAGAAAAGUUGAUCUUUCCUCUGGUCUCAAGCCUGAAGUCCCUCAUCUGGGCUCGUUUUCAGCUCUUUGUGAGGGCAGCAACCAGAAGGGCCUGCCCCCUCUUCUGGGUCCCUGUGUACAGGGGACUUGAUAGUACUAGCUCUUUUCAUCUAGAGUCAGAAAUUUGGGCAGAGAGUAGUCUCCUCUGGUUUCCCGGUGUGUAUUCCCCUCUGAAGAUCUAACUCUCCCUUUGGCAGGAUUUGGUUGCAGGGACCUAUUUGACUGGGUCCCUGCAUAUCAGGAUGCAGUCUGGACCAAAUGCCUCCUGCAGCUUUACUGCCCCUAUCUUCCUGUGCCUAUAGUCCCUAUACAGUUUCCACUUUGGCGAGGGAUGUGGGGAAAGGAGGGCAAAAGUGGCAGUCUCUCCUGCCCUGCAAUUUCUAUUGGCCACAUGUCUGGGUGAUGAUGGAUGAAGCAAAGAGGUGCAGCCUGACAGGAACUGGAUGCAGAUCUCUCCUGAGAGACACAGCCAGAAUAUGGCAAAUACAUAGGCAAAUGCCAGCAACAAAAAAACUGUACUGAGAAUGGGACCCACGUUGAAGGAAUCAGAGAAAAGACUGAAAGAGCUGAAGGGGGUUGAGACCCCAUAUGAACAACAAUGCCGACCAACCAGUGCUUUCAGGGACUAAGCCAUUACCCAAAGACUAUAUACAUGGACUGACACUGGCCUCCAAAUUCGUAGGUAGCAAUGAAUAGACUAGUUGGGGCACCAAUGGAAGGAGAAGCCCUUGGCCCAGCGAAGGCUGGAUAUCCAGUGAAUGGUAUUCUUGGAUGUAGUAAUGGGGGGAGGAUGGGGCGGCGAGCACGCAAAUAGAAUGGAAGCGGUUAGGGGGAUGUUGGCCUGGAAACCAGGAAAGGGCAUAACAUUUUAAAUGUAAAUAAGAAAUACUUAAUUUAAUAAAGAUGGAGGAAAAAUAAGAGAAAGAUCUGUUCAUUUGUAGACAACUUCAUUGGGACUGAGAGACCUGAACUCAUUUAAUGAUUUUUUCAGAAAUCAAAGAAGCUAGUACUUGAGCUAACUUAUAGAUCUCAGGAGAAGAUGCAUGGACUUUUUCCUCAUAAAAGAAUUAUCACCAGAAUACUGAUGCAUAGAUAGAUAUCUGUCUCAUUACUUUACUGUAGCCUCCAUAAGGAAUGGAAUGUAUGACCUCUGAGGGAGAGAAACACUUCAUCAUGAGUAGCAUUUUUUAAAUGGAGUGUUAAGACAAUGACUACUAUGAAUGAGCAUAUAGUACUCUGCUGAUCUUGUCAACUAUAUUAGGUCCUAGAGUUACCCAUUAUUACAUGCAAGAAGUGAAAAAUGUAAGAAAAAUAUUUCUAGGGACCCAGGAUAUUGUUCAGUGUUAGAAAAAUUCACUGAAUAGAUUAAAUUGUGUUUCACUCUGUAAUAGUAGAAAUUUCAGGCAAAUUAAAAAUAUAUACUAACUCGAUCAAAAGGAGACUUAACGCGUGCGUGUUUGUGUGCUUGUGUGUGUGUGUGUGUGUGUGUGUGUUCAAAAACAUCAAAUUUCUCAUAGGCAGAACUUUUUUCCACAUCAGGGGACAGAUGGAUAGCAUAUGAAAAUUCGAUUCCUCUCUCAAUACUUCACAUGAUUGAUUAUGACCACUCUUAUACACACAUUUAUCUAACAUUAGAAACUUUCAAAAGACAACAGUAAUAUGUGAGUUAAUCACUCACAAUGAGAACAAAUUAUAACUAAGACAGGAUUAAAACAGCCAAAGGAAAAGUAUAUGAUAGCCAUUUACAUAUGGUAUGUACUUUUAAAGUUUGGCUUAAACAUUAAUAUUGGUGGUAUAACACAGAUAAGGGAAUUUGCUAGAAUGACAUUUGCCAAUGAGUUUGUAAGGUGAUGAGGCUCAGAACCAGACAGGGUGAGAUGCACAUAUACCCCAUACAAUGAGUUACUUCUACAACUGUAUCUUUAAAACUUUCCCUUAGGCAUUAAAUUGAUUUGUGCUCACAUUUAUAACAUGAGAUGUUUAAUAUUUGUUUGUUGCUUUUUAGAAGACAAUGAAAAGUUCCUUUUGGUAAGAAGGUUGAUUGGGUAUGGUAUUUGGGUAAUUAAGCUUAGUACUGGAACAAAUAUCUUCUUUAUAUGAGCUAGCUCCUCCAUAGCAGUACUAAUGAUGCUUUAGAGAAGUAAACCUGAAGACCAUGCUAAGUUGUGGAUUCUGCAUGUUUAUUAAUAAAUUUGAGAAUCAAGAUGUCUUACCUAGUUUAAUAAUGGCAUGCAUUAUUUACAUAAAUUCAAAGUUCCUGUUGGAGUCAAUGCCAGUUCCAGGAAGGAAAAAGUCCCAUGUGAUAUGGGUAACAUAAACAUAUAUUUGAGGCAGAGGGAGCCAUGGCAUCCUCUAAAGAACCAAUAGCUAUUGAUUAUUUAAAUGAAGCGCUAGGUAAAAUUCUUCCAUUAAAAAUGUGUUUGUUAUCACAGGUUAUCGCUAUACUAUGUGUCCAUUUCUUAAUUUUCAUCAUUUCUCUCACUUGUACUUCUUAGCAAUAAAUAAUCCUCAAGACACCUCAAUACCCCUCUUCUAGAGAGAGAAUUAAUUGAAAAAUUCUGUAGAGUUCAGCAACCUGCUGGAACUUACAAAUUGUCAAACAGCCAAGUGAGACCAUCCUACUCUUAGGGACUCUUGAGUAAAAAGUGCUGGAAAGAAUGGAAGUGCUCUCAAAUGUUUGUAUAGUGCCAGUCUCCAAGAGAAAUUUUUGACAUUUUCAGGCAAUCUUCCCCAUGAAACAUGACAAAGAAAUAUCUUAGAUUGGAUUUGGACUUUUUACAUUUCCUCUUAAAUAUCACGAAGGAUAGGAUACUUAAUUGAGUAACAUAUGCUCCUAAACCUUUUUGUACUAAAUCUACUGUAACUGAAUGUGGCCAAGGAAGUCCUGAUUGUGAUUCUAUCAGUGGAUCCCUGAACAAGUCAUCAUUCUUACAGAGUACAAACAUUUUGUUGUAUAUUUUGGGUCAGACCUCAAACACAGGUGUAAGCAGCCAAUCACAAAAGCUUUGUAAGUUAAUCUAAUAAACUUAACUGUUCCCUAGAAAGGACAGUGUUGGAAUUCUCUCAGUAUGUUGUUAGAAUGCAAUGUGGUUGCUGGACACUACUUAACCUCCAUUUAAUUGGAGAACAAAUUCAUGUAUCUAUGCAUAUCAAAUAUAUUGUACACAUUGGGUUUAUAUUUUUAGAAUAAAUUAAAUUAUAUUUCACAUAUUCUUUUCUUCCUCCAUGUCUCCUUUAUUCCAUUCUUGCUUGUUUUUAAAAUGUGUUUCUGCAUUUUUUCAUACAUGUAUAUGUAUAUAUACAUAUACAUAUACAUAUACAUAUACAUAUACAUAUACAUCAUAUACAUAUACAUAUACAUAUACAUACACAUACACAUACACAUACACAUACACAUACACAUACACAUACGUAUACGUAUACAUAUACAUAUACAUAUACAUAUACAUAUACAUAUACAUAUACAUAUACAUAUACAUAUACAUAUAUGUGCAUGUUCAUCAUGUUUAUUUUAAGACAUAAAUAUAAGCUUUGAGUCAAUAUAAUAUUAUAUAUGUACGGUUUUGGGGUAUAUCUUUGGGUGUUCAAAAUGAAAUACAUGUUCUUCCUUUUGUAGGAAAUAACUACUGCUUUUACCCUUCCUUGAGUACUUGAAAUAUUCUAUAGGGUUUAAAGUACCCUAAGAUUUUUGGGUCUACUUUUGUAUCCUAAUAUUGGCUCUGUCUCCAUCAGCUGCUGGCUCAGCCUCUUGGAGGACAACCAUGCUUGUCUCCGAUCUGUAAGCAUAGUUAUAGUGUAAGGGCUUGGACCCUUCCCUUGAGAUGGAUCCCAAGUUAGGCCAGUCACUGGGUCUUCUUUUCUUUGGUUUCUUAUCCAUGUUUGUCUCUGUAGUACAUUUAGACAGGAGUAAUUAUGGGUCAAAGUUUUUGACUGUGAAAUGGAAACCCCACCCAUACACUUGAUGCUCUGUCUUUCUACUGUAGGUAGAUUUUCUACAAAUUCCCUCUCCCCAUUGUUGGGCAUUUCAUCUAAUGUCCCGCUCUUUGAUUCCUGAGAGCCUCUCAUCUCCCCAAUCUCUGGUACACUCUAGAAAUUCCACCACCUCCUAAAUCCUGAGGUUACCUGUCCCCAUUAUUUAUGCUGGUCUUCAGUGCUUCUCACCUGACCCCUGCCAUUACCUGGUCAUGUUCUCCUUUUACCCUGUUCCUCUCCUCUCCUUCCCAGGUCCUUCCUUCCCUCAGCACCCCAUGAUUGCUUACUUCUCCCUCAAAAAUGGGAUUGAAGCAUUCUUACUUGGGCCCUUCAGCUUGUUAACCUUUGUGAGUUCUGUGGAUUUUGUCCUGGGUAUUCUGUUUAUUUUUAGGUACUCUCCAUAUAUUAGUGAGUACAUACCAUGCAUCUUUUUUUUGAGUGUGAGUUGCCUUACUACGAAUGAUAAUUUCUAGUCCCAUCCCUUUGCCUGCAAAACUAAUGAUGUCCUUGUUCUUAAUAACUGAAUAGUAUUCCAUUGUUUAAAUGAACCACAUUUUCUAUAGGAUAUUUAUGACUUUUUAUCUUCUACAGUUAAAGCCCUCCUGUUUUACCAUUGUCCACAUCUUAUCAUUUGUAACUCCUGUGUUCUGUCCACUCUGAUAACAAUUUAACCAGCUAAGUUAAUCUUCACUUCCAUAACUAUUUAUUAUGAUCUACAAGAAGAAAAUAAAGGCAAAUAGAAGGCUACACAGCUAAAUAAGGCAAAUAAUACCUGACUUCUGAAGAUGUCACUAAAAUAGUUUGCAAGGAGAAAAUACUAGUUUUGAGGCUGGCAUCAAAAAUCUAAUAAUAAGGGGAACACAAGGAUACACAGGGCCCCAAAAUAAUCUCUGAAUUUCAGUCUUCGCAUGAGCAUAUGUUCAAGUUUUGUUCAUAGCAGGGAAUAAACUCAGUGAUCCUGUAGGUAAGCAUAUCUAGUAAAAGAGGUCAUAGUAUGUGCUUUUUAUAUCAGAUAAAAGCGAAGAAUCUUUAACAUGUUGAGAAUUUCAACUCGAAUCAUACAUAUAUACAAAAUACCUUGUAUACAUGGGAAAACACACAUACACACACACGCACAGAGCGAUAGAGGCAAUAGAGUCACACAUUCAAACACGUGUAGUAAGGUAUGAGAGCUUUAAUUGACUUUUAAAAAGAAUUAUUCUACAAGUAAUAUUUUAAUCUAGACUGAGUUGUAGACUCUUUGUACCAUAUUAUAAAUCCUUUGCUAUAUUUUUCGAGAUUAAUCUUGUGUGAAAAAUAUAUUGCAUUGAUGAAAAGCUAGAUGAUUUUCCUGAAAAAAUAAUACUUAGUAACUUAACAUGUAAUCACGCUCAUAUCAUAUAUCAGUAACAAUAUGGUGUAUGAACAUUUAGAUUCCAUGGAUUUAAUAGAUUAAUGAAUAUAAUGAUUUAGAAUCCAUUGGUGUAUAAACAGGUCCUUUAAUGAGGAAAGAAAUAAGGACACAGACAUAAAGCAACCGCAUUUAUAGAGGCAGAACUGAAAGAAUUAAGCACAGAGUAACUAAAGGAUUGACAAGAUGAUUAGAGGACAAAGCAACUAUGUGGACCUGUCACUGUAAUCAUAUAGGUUCUGUUUGCAGUCAGUGCUGUCUGAUGGGCAGUACAUGGCCAGGAACCAUGUUAACAGGGAAAGGUUGAAAUCCAUGAGGUUUCACUCUGUAGACCACUACUAUCUACAGAGCUAGUUUGGAUCAUCCUUGUUUGGAUGAUGUCAAAUCACUGGAUACAUUCCGCACACGUUAUUCCUAGCAUUAAUGAAUACUCUAUGUUCUAGGGUCCACAGAACAGUGGUGCUGUAAAUAAUAGUGAUCAAGCUGGCAGGUAAAAUAUAUUUCCUUUGUAUAUAAUGAUGUCCUUAUAACUGGGAAUACAUGCAGGAAUACAUUGCUAUUUUAAUGGCCUUAAAGUCCAAACUGAAUUUUAAUAAUUUCAGAAGUCCUUCCCUGUAUUUUAGUUCAAAUUCAACAGACAAUUUUCAGAACUAUAUUUCCAUGAUUGUCAAUAUCCACAGUAGGUAACUUAUGUGACCUUGAUGCAUUAGUGUUAUAUGUGCAUAUUUUGCUUUUAAAUUUCCAGUCAUAGCUGUAGCUCAAUCUUUCAUCAUUAAUUUACUUGUAAACCCGAUAUAUAAUAGGGACUGUACUAAGCACUUAUUGUAGCUAUUUACUCUGUGUUACUCCCAGACAGAAAUAUUUCUACACCUAGUUGAAAAGCAUACAAAAGGAAAUGUUGGGAGUAAGUUGUAUAAAUUAAAAAAUGGCAAAAGACCACUAACAUAGGAAGUUAGGUAGCUAUUGCUUAGCACAUUAAAAAAAAAACAAAA
Molecule: non-coding RNA, 18044 nt
Organism: Rattus norvegicus (Norway rat)
Lineage: Eukaryota; Metazoa; Chordata; Mammalia; Rodentia; Muridae
Source: RefSeq, a predicted model, not a curated record